GACGAACGCUGGCGGCGUGCUUAACACAUGCAAGUCGAACGGAAAGGCCCUGCUUUUGUGGGGUGCUCGAGUGGCGAACGGGUGAGUAACACGUGAGUAACCUGCCCUUGACUUUGGGAUAACUUCAGGAAACUGGGGCUAAUACCGGAUAGGAGCUCCUGCUUCAUGGUGGGGGUUGGAAAGUUUCGGCGGUUGGGGAUGGACUCGCGGCUUAUCAGCUUGUUGGUGGGGUAGUGGCUUACCAAGGCUUUGACGGGUAGCCGGCCUGAGAGGGUGACCGGCCACAUUGGGACUGAGAUACGGCCCAGACUCCUACGGGAGGCAGCAGUGGGGAAUAUUGCACAAUGGGCGGAAGCCUGAUGCAGCAACGCCGCGUGCGGGAUGACGGCCUUCGGGUUGUAAACCGCUUUCGCCUGUGACGAAGCGUGAGUGACGGUAAUGGGUAAAGAAGCACCGGCUAACUACGUA
This 468-nucleotide ribosomal RNA is filed under the name uncultured bacterium. RNAcentral's name for it is "partial 16S ribosomal RNA". It matches the Rfam family "Bacterial small subunit ribosomal RNA", at positions 28 to 507 of the family's 1533-position model. The record is from RNAcentral.